RNAcentral lists this ribosomal RNA (1017 nucleotides) under uncultured bacterium. Its description in RNAcentral is "bacterial SSU rRNA". It matches the Rfam family "Bacterial small subunit ribosomal RNA", at positions 355 to 1375 of the family's 1533-position model. RNAcentral also lists the same sequence under 1 other name. The record is from RNAcentral.
UGAGGAAUAUUGGUCAAUGGACGAGAGUCUGAACCAGCCAAGUAGCGUGAAGGAUGACUGCCCUAUGGGUUGUAAACUUCUUUUAUACGGGAAUAAAGUUAGCCACGUGUGGCUUUUUGUAUGUACCGUAUGAAUAAGGAUCGGCUAACUCCGUGCCAGCAGCCGCGGUAAUACGGAGGAUCCGAGCGUUAUCCGGAUUUAUUGGGUUUAAAGGGAGCGUAGGCGGGUUGUUAAGUCAGUUGUGAAAGUUUGCGGCUCAACCGUAAAAUUGCAGUUGAUACUGGCGACCUUGAGUGCAACAGAGGUAGGCGGAAUUCGUGGUGUAGCGGUGAAAUGCUUAGAUAUCACGAAGAACUCCGAUUGCGAAGGCAGCUUACUGGAUUGUAACUGACGCUGAUGCUCGAAAGUGUGGGUAUCAAACAGGAUUAGAUACCCUGGUAGUCCACACAGUAAACGAUGAAUACUCGCUGUUGGCGAUAUACGGUCAGCGGCCAAGCGAAAGCAUUAAGUAUUCCACCUGGGGAGUACGCCGGCAACGGUGAAACUCAAAGGAAUUGACGGGGGCCCGCACAAGCGGAGGAACAUGUGGUUUAAUUCGAUGAUACGCGAGGAACCUUACCCAGGCUUAAAUUGCAACUGACUGAACCGGAAACGGUUCCUUCUUCGGACAGUUGUGAAGGUGCUGCAUGGUUGUCGUCAGCUCGUGCCGUGAGGUGUCGGCUUAAGUGCCAUAACGAGCGCAACCCUUAUCGAUAGUUACUAGCAGGUCAUGCUGAGGACUCUAUUGAGACUGCCGUCGUAAGAUGUGAGGAAGGUGGGGAUGACGUCAAAUCAGCACGGCCCUUACGUCCGGGGCUACACACGUGUUACAAUGGGGGGUACAGAAGGCAGCUACACGGCGACGUGGUGCUAAUCCCGAAAGCCUCUCUCAGUUCGGAUUGGAGUCUGCAACCCGACUCCAUGAAGCUGGAUUCGCUAGUAAUCGCGCAUCAGCCACGGCGCGGUGAAUACGUUCCC